Molecule: ribosomal RNA, 551 nt
Filed under: uncultured fungus
Lineage: Eukaryota; Fungi
Description: eukaryotic LSU rRNA
Rfam family: 5.8S ribosomal RNA (bases 199-352)
Source: RNAcentral
CGUAACAAGGUCUCCGUAGGUGAACCUGCGGAGGGAUCAUUACAAGUGACCCCGGUCUAACCACCGGGAUGUUCCUAACCCUUUGUUGUCCGACUCUGUUGCCUCCGGGGCGACCCUGCCUUCGGGCGGGGGCUCCGGGUGGACACUUCAAACUCUUGCGUAACUUUGCAGUCUGAGUAAACUUAAUUAAUAAAUUAAAACUUUUAACAACGGAUCUCUUGGUUCUGGCAUCGAUGAAGAACGCAGCGAAAUGCGAUAAGUAAUGUGAAUUACAGAAUUCAGUGUAUCAUCGAAUCUUUGAACGCACAUUGCGCCCCCUGGUAUUCCGGGGGGCAUGCCUGUUCGAGCGUCAUUUCACCACUCAAGCCUCGCUUGGUAUUGGGCAACGCGGUCCGCCGCGUGCCUCAAAUCGACCGGCUGGGUCUUCUGUCCCCUAAGCGUUGUGGAAACUAUUCGCUAAAGGGUGUUCGGGAGGCUACGCCGUAAAACAACCCCAUUUCUAAGGUUGACCUCGGAUCAGGUAGGGAUACCCGCUGAACUUAAGCAUAUCA